GGCUUCAGGGAUUCAGUGUUUGUUUCAGCCAUCAUCAGCAGUAAAAGUAGCAUGCGAAGAGCCAUGCAUGCAUUUCCCCAGCUGCUGCAGGUUACAUAAUAUAGACUGAACAGUGAAAAAGCAAGGAGUUUGGUGAAGUUAUUUCCAGAUGUGAAGAACAUAAUCAUCUGAAGGUAGAAAAAAAGGAACCACUGACACACAAAGAUAUCAGCUUCAUAUCUAUUCUUGGACUUCUUUCCCUAUGUGCAACACUGUAUACCAGUAUGGAUUAAAGGAAAGCUGUCAUCUUUUAGACCAUGCCUCCAGUCACCAGCUAACUCCCUCAUGCGUUGAAUCCCCACAAUUUAUGUAUCAACUGUAAAGAGACUGAUCUGGUUUUCAACAUCCUGUAUGAGUUUGUGGACAAACACAUUGAACAGAGCAGGACCCUAGAGUGGCCCAUGCUUCACUGCUCUGAUUAGCUAUUUUUUGUGAACUCUAUUUCAAUAUGCCCCUGGGACUGGUUGUGCUAUCCCUAGCCUCUGUUUUGUUGGAAUGUUCGUUCAGUUCCUUGGCAGAAACCACCUGCUCAGUACUUGACUUGCUUACAUGUAUAGAAUUAGGGCCAAAGCUAAAAGCAAAUCAUCUACAUAGUAAAUUUUACAUCCCCAAAAUGUUUAUCAGUUUUGGAUUUAAAACUUUAAAUAUUUGGUGUGGCUUUAAAAUCCAGCAUGAGCUGAGUCCACAAAGAUACAUGUUACAACAUUCAGAGGCAAGAAUUUGUAGCUUUAGACCUUCUUUUUUGUAACCAUGAAGAAUUCUUGUAUUGCUUUGUAUGCUCUUAGGCAAGCAUCCCUGUUUUUGCUGGUACAUUCCAGCAGUCAUUCUGUGAUUUGUUAAUGUGUAAAAUAAAACAUAAACCUGCUA
Protopterus annectens (West African lungfish) is the source of this 906-nucleotide long non-coding RNA. RefSeq lists it as uncharacterized. The record is from RefSeq and is a predicted model, not a curated record. Lineage: Eukaryota; Metazoa; Chordata; Ceratodontiformes; Protopteridae. The transcript is spliced from 3 exons.